UUGUGCCCGGUCGAUUGUAGUAGUAGUUUCGCUUCGUAGCAGUGAUGUUCGCGUACAUCCGAUUUCAUUUCGACGAUGCGCGGCUUGUUGUGCCAACGUCUAAUAUUAGAAACUUCACGGAACCCGUAGACGGUACAGAUUUCAACGGGAACGCGACCUUUCCAGUUUGCGAUGUGUAUUGGCCCGGUGACAAGAAAACAAAGGGCGGCUACUAUGAGGCCGAUGUAGUUUUUUUGGCAGAAAGCGAAGAGGACGCAAGGCUUGGAGGAGAACGCAAGCGUCUCGGCAAGCCGUCGAAGAGCAACCACCUGCAUGCACCUGUUAGUCAGAAGAAGAGGCCUCUUAGGGAUACAGCUAGUAAGCGAAAGGCUGCAAGCCGUAGGGACGAACUGGCGCUUCUCGAUGAGCUGACUGGUGAAAGCGAAGACGAAGUUGUCCCAAAAAGGCUUCUUGAUGAGAGGGACAGCCACACAGGAUUUCUUGAAAAAGAAAUAAAAGACAUCAGAAAAUUAAAUACGCAACUCAGUAAAGCCCU
Molecule: long non-coding RNA, 535 nt
Organism: Ornithodoros turicata
Lineage: Eukaryota; Metazoa; Arthropoda; Arachnida; Ixodida; Argasidae
Exons: 3
Source: RefSeq, a predicted model, not a curated record